This 253-nucleotide ribosomal RNA is filed under the name uncultured bacterium. Its description in RNAcentral is "partial 16S ribosomal RNA". It matches the Rfam family "Bacterial small subunit ribosomal RNA", at positions 524 to 776 of the family's 1533-position model. The record is from RNAcentral.
CACAGAGGUCUCAAGCGUUGUUCGGAUUCAUUGGGCGUAAAGGGUGCGUAGGCGGCGCGGUAAGUCGGGUGUGAAAUCUCGGGGCUUAACUCCGAAACUGCAUUCGAUACUGCCGUGCUUGAGGACUGGAGAGGAGACUGGAAUUUACGGUGUAGCGGUGAAAUGCGUAGAUAUCGUAAGGAAGACCAGUGGCGAAGGCGGGUCUCUGGACAGUUCCUGACGCUGAGGCACGAAGGUCAGGGGAGCAAACGGG